AUCCCAUGGUGAGAACAUUGCCUUAACAACUCCUUGAAUCUUUCCCAAGCAUCAAACAAAGAUUCGCCAUCUCCUUGUCUAAAUGAAGUAAUCUCAUUUCUCAUCUU
Lathyrus oleraceus (garden pea) is the source of this 107-nucleotide small nucleolar RNA. The record is from RefSeq and is a predicted model, not a curated record. NCBI's taxonomy places the organism in Eukaryota, Viridiplantae, Streptophyta, Magnoliopsida, Fabales, Fabaceae.